GAUGAACGCUGGCGGCGUGCCUAAUACAUGCAAGUCGUACGGAAAGGCCCUUCGGGGUACUCGAGUGGCGGACGGCUGAGUAACGCGUGGGAACGUGCCCCAAAGUGAGGGAUAACGCACCGAAAGGUGUGCUAAUACCGCAUAUGGUCUUCGGAUUAAAGCUUCGGCGCUUUGGGAGCGGCCCGCGUACGAUUAGAUAGUUGGUGAGGUAAUGGCUCACCAAGUCGACGAUCGUUAGCUGGUCUGAGAGGAUGAUCAGCCAGACUGGGACUGAGACACGGCCCAGACUCCUACGGGAGGCAGCAGUAAGGAAUCUUCCACAAUGGGGGCAACCCUGAUGGAGCAACGCCGCGUGCAGGAUGAAGGUUUUCGGAUCGUAAACUGCUUUUAUAAGUGAAGAAUAUGACGGUAACUUAUGAAUAAGGAUCGGCUAACUACGUGCCAGCCGCCGCCGUAA
This 457-nucleotide ribosomal RNA is filed under the name uncultured bacterium. RNAcentral's name for it is "partial 16S ribosomal RNA". It matches the Rfam family "Bacterial small subunit ribosomal RNA", at positions 28 to 523 of the family's 1533-position model. The record is from RNAcentral.